GAGUUCAGCUGGCUCAACGGUUAGCGUCCCCGCUUCGGAACCGGGAGGUCGCGAGUUCUAUCCUCGGUUGUGUUCG
Araneus ventricosus is the source of this 76-nucleotide non-coding RNA. NCBI's taxonomy places the organism in Eukaryota, Metazoa, Arthropoda, Arachnida, Araneae, Araneidae. The record is from the annotation of a GenBank genome assembly.